UACGUAGGGUGCAAGCGUUGUCCGGAAUUAUUGGGCGUAAAGAGCUCGUAGGCGGUCUGUCGCGUCGGCUGUGAAAACCCGGAGCUCAACUCCGGGCCUGCAGUCGAUACGGGCAGGCUAGAGUUCGGCAGGGGAGACUGGAAUUCCUGGUGUAGCGGUGAAAUGCGCAGAUAUCAGGAGGAACACCGGUGGCGAAGGCGGGUCUCUGGGCCGAUACUGACGCUGAGGAGCGAAAGCGUGGGGAGCGAACAGG
This 253-nucleotide ribosomal RNA is filed under the name uncultured bacterium. RNAcentral describes it as "partial 16S ribosomal RNA". It matches the Rfam family "Bacterial small subunit ribosomal RNA", at positions 524 to 776 of the family's 1533-position model. The record is from RNAcentral.